GAUGAACGCUAGCGGCAGGCUUAAUACAUGCAAGUCGAACGGGAUUCAGGGUAGCAAUACUUUGAUGAGAGUGGCGCACGGGUGCGUAACGCGUAUGCAACCUACCUUUAACAGGGGAAUAGCCCCAAGAAAUCGGGAUUAAUACUCCGUAACAUUGCGGGAUGGCAUCAUUCUGCAAUUAAAGAUUUAUCGGUUAAAGAUGGGCAUGCGUGACAUUAGCUUGUUGGUGAGGUAACGGCUCACCAAGGCAACGAUGUCUAGGGGUCCUGAGAGGGUUAUCCCCCACACUGGUACUGAGACACGGACCAGACUCCUACGGGAGGCAGCAGUAAGAUAUGGUACAAGUGGGCGACAAGCCUAGAACCAGCCAU
This 371-nucleotide ribosomal RNA is filed under the name uncultured bacterium. RNAcentral's name for it is "bacterial SSU rRNA". It matches the Rfam family "Bacterial small subunit ribosomal RNA", at positions 28 to 395 of the family's 1533-position model. The record is from RNAcentral.